RNAcentral lists this ribosomal RNA (502 nucleotides) under uncultured bacterium. Its description in RNAcentral is "partial 16S ribosomal RNA". It matches the Rfam family "Bacterial small subunit ribosomal RNA", at positions 28 to 523 of the family's 1533-position model. The record is from RNAcentral.
GAUGAACGCUAGCGACAGGCCUAACACAUGCAAGUCGAGGGGUAGCAGGAUGUAGCAAUACAUCGCUGACGACCGGCGCACGGGUGAGUAACGCGUAUGCAACCUACCUUCUACAGGGGGAUAGCCCGGAGAAAUCCGGAUUAAUACCCCAUAAAACAGGGACUCCGCAUGGAGAUAUUUGUUAAAGAUUAAUCGGUAGAAGAUGGGCAUGCGUUCCGUUAGCCAGUUGGUGAGGUAACGGCUCACCAAAGCAACGAUGGAUAGGGGAACGGAGAGGUUUAUCCCCACACUGGAACUGAGACACGGACCAGACUCCUACGGGAGGCAGCAGUGAGGAAUAUUGGUCAAUGGGCGCGAGCCUGAACCAGCCAAGUCGCGUGAAGGAAGACUGCCUUAUGGAUUGUAAACUUCUUUUAUAUGAGAAUAAAAAGAGUUACGUGCAACUUAUUGCAGGUAUCAUAUGAAUAAGCAUCGGCUAACUCCGUGCCAGCAGCCGCCGUAA